RNAcentral lists this long non-coding RNA (386 nucleotides) under Panax ginseng (ginseng). RNAcentral describes it as "long non-coding RNA (PGIN_LNC014767)". Lineage: Eukaryota; Viridiplantae; Streptophyta; Magnoliopsida; Apiales; Araliaceae. The record is from RNAcentral.
UCCAUUAUGUAUAAAAUCCUUGGUGCCAGGGGUAUGAUAGACCAAGUCCUGGUCCCCAACAACAAAUUUUGCUGGUACAUUUACUUGAGACCCAGCCCCCCCAGUCCAGGCUGCCGUAAGCUCCCAGAAUCUGCGUAGGAAUAUAUAUAUAUAUAUAUAUAUAUAAUGAAUGUUUAGAUCAUAGGAAGGAAGCAAGCAUUGAUUUUUCAUAAGGAAAAAGUGAUAGGAGGUAAGUUACAGAUCGAACGCUCGGUAGUAAUUUAUUCCACCGGUAAAGCCAGUCUUAUCAAAUUUGGAGGCAUAAUAGUCAACAUCUUCUUCUGAUAACCAAGAUGGCAAGAUAACCGGAGCAUUGUCGUCUCCAAACCCUUUGCCUUUGGGGAAGU